This 713-nucleotide ribosomal RNA is filed under the name uncultured bacterium. RNAcentral describes it as "bacterial SSU rRNA". It matches the Rfam family "Bacterial small subunit ribosomal RNA", at positions 65 to 772 of the family's 1533-position model. The record is from RNAcentral.
AGCAUUUCAGUUUGCUUGCAAACUGGAGAUGGCGNCCGGCGCACGGGUGAGUAACACGUAUCCAACCUGCCGAUAACUCGGGGAUAGCCUUUCGAAAGAAAGAUUAAUACCCGAUGGCAUAAUUAGACCGCAUGGUCUUAUUAUUAAAGAAUUUCGGUUAUCGAUGGGGAUGCGUUCCAUUAGGCAGUUGGUGAGGUAACGGCUCACCAAACCUUCGAUGGAUAGGGGUUCUGAGAGGAAGGUCCCCCACAUUGGAACUGAGACACGGUCCAAACUCCUACGGGAGGCAGCAGUGAGGAAUAUUGGUCAAUGGACGAGAGUCUGAACCAGCCAAGUAGCGUGAAGGAUGACUGCCCUAUGGGUUGUAAACUUCUUUUAUAUGGGAAUAAAGUUUUCCACGUGUGGAAUUUUGUAUGUACCAUAUGAAUAAGGAUCGGCUAACUCCGUGCCAGCAGCCGCGGUAAUACGGAGGAUCCGAGCGUUAUCCGGAUUUAUUGGGUUUAAAGGGAGCGUAGGUGGACAGUUAAGUCAGUUGUGAAAGUUUGCGGCUCAACCGUAAAAUUGCAGUUGAUACUGGCUGUCUUGAGUACAGUAGAGGUGGGCGGAAUUCGUGGUGUAGCGGUGAAAUGCUUAGAUAUCACGAAGAACUCCGAUUGCGAANGCAGCUCACUGGACUGCAACUGACACUGAUGCUCGAAAGUGUGGGUAUCAAA